RNAcentral lists this long non-coding RNA (610 nucleotides) under Monodelphis domestica (gray short-tailed opossum). Its description in RNAcentral is "lncRNA (ENSMODG00000042410.1)". Lineage: Eukaryota; Metazoa; Chordata; Mammalia; Didelphimorphia; Didelphidae. The record is from RNAcentral.
CAGGAGGGGGGAGGGUCGGGAGUGGGAAGAGAGGAGCGCUGUUCUGCUUCUCCAGAUGAAACCUCACAGACGUAGCAACUUCGUGGGCUAGAGAACAAGCAAUUUUCUUGCCUCAACUUUUUUGGUAAUAACUUUGAAGAUAUGGUCCUGGUGACUUCAGAAGAUUCAGCGAAAGGAUCUUGGGAGACCUCAAUCUGAAUGAAAACGGAAGAGGUGGCCUUCUUGGUGUGGAGAGUGGUCUACUUGUGGAGCUAGGAGGAUGAAGGAAUCUCUUGUCUCUAACCCCAAGGAACAGUAUUAGCAAAACACCUUUGUUUAGAAUGAGAUGAAUGCUGUCACAAUUUGGAAGAAAUCUCCCCAGUAGUUUCUGGGAUGUAAUGCAAAAGAGCUAAGGAACAAUGAAUUACACAGGGAAAAUUUGAAUCCAAGCAAGAGAGGAGGAAGAGAUUGGAUCCAUGAGUCUGGCCUUUCUCCUUUUCUCAGAGAGGUGGUACUAGAAUUCCAUUAUAUCUCUUUUAUCUCCUAACUAUUAUUAGCUUAGAGAAAAUGAUUUUUCUGGUCACUAUCCUAACAUUUCAAGAGUUCCUCAAGUUAUAUUUAAAGAUUUGAC